AGGUCAUAGUCCAUGCUGCCCUGCUCACAUCACCGCAAGAAGGCGAGGAGAGCGAGGGGAGAGUGGGAGUGAGGGGGCCAAAGAGACAACUUACACAGACACUUGUGUACAUGUUUAUUUAUCACCAUAUCCGCUGUGGAUGCAAGGGUCAGAGAGAUCUUCCAAAUCAGAGCUGCCUUUUGGCACAUGUCAGGAGGACGUGCAAACUGACAGUUCUACACACGGCUGCAGGAUCAGUGGUUGGGCUGCAAAGACAGACGAUGGAUGGACGAGAAUUCUCCGUCCAAUGUGUGUGUUUCAAAUAAAUAAAAAUACUACACGUAUUUGUCUAUUGA
This is a long non-coding RNA of Nerophis ophidion (straightnose pipefish), 335 nucleotides long. RefSeq lists it as uncharacterized. Lineage: Eukaryota; Metazoa; Chordata; Actinopteri; Syngnathiformes; Syngnathidae. The transcript has 3 exons. The record is from RefSeq and is a predicted model, not a curated record.